Long non-coding RNA from Paramisgurnus dabryanus, 359 nucleotides. RefSeq lists it as uncharacterized. NCBI's taxonomy places the organism in Eukaryota, Metazoa, Chordata, Actinopteri, Cypriniformes, Cobitidae. The record is from RefSeq and is a predicted model, not a curated record.
UUUCCUUUCAGAGCCGAGUCCGACUGAACUGAAACUGAAUGAGACUGUAGUGAAGUGUAUUCAACACAAUGAGACACAAUGGCACUUUAUCAUCAUUAUAUCUGCUCUUCUGAUCAUUGUCAUCACUGUAGUUAGUUGUUACUCUAAAGAAAGAUUAAAACUUCAGGAUACAGAUCUACAGCAGACUAAACACGUCUAUCUAAAACAACACGAAGAGAUGAGCCGAGUACAGUUCACUGCAGUGAGAUUUUCAACAUGUGAGGAGUCUGAAGACACUCGAGUCAACUGAACCUCUGCUCUUCUACCGGUUUCAUUUCUUAUAAUGUUUAAUAAAGUAUCAAUGUUAUCAGUUAAUGUUG